RNAcentral lists this ribosomal RNA (1665 nucleotides) under Triticum aestivum (bread wheat). RNAcentral describes it as "partial small subunit ribosomal RNA". The record is from RNAcentral. Lineage: Eukaryota; Viridiplantae; Streptophyta; Magnoliopsida; Poales; Poaceae.
AUGGCAACUUUGUUGUUUCACGGUCUCGUUUGGUUUCUCUGCCUUCUCCUGGGGUUCUCUUGCAGCCUACCAUUAUUAGGCAUCUGCGAUGAAACGCCGAGUGAUAGAGAAGCCCUCCUGUGCUUCAAAUCACGGCUCUCGGCACCCGCCGGAGUUCUACCUUCAUGGAGCAACACAUCCAUGGAGUUCUGCGACUGGCACAGGAUCACGUGCAGCGCGACUUCCCCCCGGCAUGUCGUUGCGCUGGACCUUGAAUCCCAAGGCAUCUCAGGCACCAUAGCACCUUGCAUCGCCAACCUCACUUGGCUGGCAAUGCUCCAGCUGUCCAACAAUAGCUUUGGUGGCGGUGUACCGUCCGAGCUUGGCCUCCUGGGCCGACUCACCAACCUCAACCUCAGCAUGAACAGUUUGGAAGGUAACAUCCCACCUGAACUCUCUGCAUGUUCCCAGCUCCAAAAGAUUAACCUUGCAAACAACAAGCUCCAAGGGAGCAUUCCUCCUGCUUUUGGAGACCUUCCUGACCUGCGCAUACUAGUUCUCGCCAAAAAUACACUUACUGGCACCAUACCGUUGUCUUUGGGAAGCAGUCGUCAUCUUAUGUAUGUCGAUCUCGGGAUCAAUGCUCUUGGAGGGGUCAUCCCGGAGUCCUUGGCAAAUAGUUCAUCUCUUCAAGUACUUAGGCUCAUGAGCAAUAGUCUUACUGGAGAACUCCCAAAGGCUCUCCUCAACACUUUGUCACUAGGUGCCAUUUGCCUCACAAGAAACAAUUUUGUUGGUUCCAUACCUUCUGUUACUGUCACCUCUUCCCCUCUUAAGCAUCUCUAUUUAGGGGAAAACAAUCUUUCAGGAAGAAUACCUUUCUCACUAGGGAACCUUUCCUCCCUACUUCAUCUUCAUCUCACAAACAAUCAUUUAGUUGGGAGCAUCCCGGAGAGCUUAGGUUAUAUUCCAACAUUAGAGAAAUUGAUCUUGAGUGCAAACAACUUAUCUGGACCGGUUCCACCGUCUAUCUUCAACAUGUCAUCCCUGAAAAGUCUCGCCGCAUUCGACAACUCACUUGUCGGAAGAUUACCCUUCGACAUCGGCUACACCCUCCAUAAUAUUGAGUACUUAAUACUCACAGGGAACAAUUUUGAUGGACCAAUUCCAGCCUCUCUUCUCAAAGCUUACCGCCUAUGCUGGCUUCUCCUUGAUAGUAAUAGAUUUAUUGGAUCUAUACCAUUCUUCGGUUCAUUGCCAAAUUUGGAGCGUCUCGAUUUGGCAUCCAACAAGCUAGAAGCAGAUGAUUGGGGAUUUGUCUCUUCACUAUCUAACUGCUCCAGAUUGUACAUGCUGGCCCUGGAUGGAAACAAUCUUAAUGGGAAAUUGCCAAGUUCUAUUGGAAAUCUUUCAAAUAGUCUUGACUCCUUGUGGCUGAAUAGCAACCAAAUUUCUGGACCUAUACCACCGGAGAUUGGCAACCUUAAGAGCCUCAGUACAUUGUACAUGGAUUACAAUUUUUUCACUGGUAAUAUACCACCAACAAUUGGGAAAUUGUACAACCUCAGUACAUUGUACAUGGAUUACAAUUUUUUCACUGGUAAUAUACCACCAACAAUUGGGAAAUUGCACAAUUUGGUCAAACUACACUUAGCACAAAACAUGCUUUCAGGCCAGAUUCCAUAG